Molecule: microRNA precursor, 87 nt
Filed under: Callithrix jacchus (white-tufted-ear marmoset)
Lineage: Eukaryota; Metazoa; Chordata; Mammalia; Primates; Cebidae
Description: microRNA cja-mir-9944 precursor
Source: miRBase by way of RNAcentral
GGUUUUCUUUACUCUCGCUGUUUUCUCACUCUUUUUCUGGCUUGAGGGAGAAACGGGGCUGAGAAGACUUGUAGGGUAUCAAAAACC